GCCUACGGGGGGCAGCAGUGGGGAAUAUUGCACAAUGGGGGGAACCCUGAUGCAGCAAUGCCGCGUGGGUGAAGAAGCACUCCGGUGCGUAAAGCCCUGUCAGCAGGGAAGAAAAUGACAGUACCUGGACAAGAAGCCCCGGCUAACUACGUGCCAGCAGCCGCGGUAAUACGUAGGGGGCAAGCGUUAUCCGGAUUUAUUGGGUGUAAAGGGUGCGUAGACGGGAAAUUAAGUUAGUUGUGAAAUCCCUCGGCUUAACUGAGGAACUGCAACUAAAACUGGUUUUCUUGAGUACUGGAGAGGAA
RNAcentral lists this ribosomal RNA (305 nucleotides) under uncultured bacterium. Its description in RNAcentral is "bacterial SSU rRNA". It matches the Rfam family "Bacterial small subunit ribosomal RNA", at positions 337 to 659 of the family's 1533-position model. The record is from RNAcentral.